AGUUCCCCUGGGGGUCACUUUCUUUAAUUUCAUGCAUUUGAAAGCUUGAGUAAAAUAUUCUCCUCUUACUGAAUUUUGAAUUUUUCCUGACCAAGGUUCCUCUUGGGUUGACUGAUGAGCUGACCACUCGGGUUAUGGUGCCACUGGAUGGAACUCCAUCUCUGGAAUGGAAUCAAUGAGACACAAUGACACAACAGAUGGCUUGAGCUAAUUCUUGGAUUGCUUACUGGAAAUCACAUGCUAGGGCUUUUGGCUUUGUCUUGGAUAUUGUUUGGAGCUCAGUUCAGGUGCAGUCUGCUGAGAGAGAAGUUCCCCAGCUCAUCCUCUGCCUUUUUGAGAAGGCCUUUUCAUAAGGUCCAGAGUGAGACCAGAAAACGCUGAUGCAGCUGCUCUUCUGAAGAGCUUGACAAAACUUGAAUGAACUGUGUUUAAAGAAAAUUACAUCCCUGUGCUUAGUGACACUGUCUACAUGAUCCAAGACAUCAACUGAAAGAAAUGUGCUCAGGGGAAACUGGUUGCAACUGUGCCAGCCUGAGAGAGAAGCCCAAGUGUGGAACCAGUGGUGAAUCUUCACUGAGAUCUGAUAGCUGUGCACAAACAGAAUUACCAUCAGAACAUUGUCUUGGCCUGCCUGAUACGACCAGAGUCUCUCACUGAGAAAAGGGUUAGUGACAGACUCUGUGAAAGACGACAGUGCGUUGGGCGUAUUAUUAGAAAAACUGAGAAUGAACACAAUGAGAAGAAUGAGCGAUAACAAGAUGUAGAGCUGAAUGAACACAGCAGGCCAAGCAGCAUCAGAGGAGCAGGAAGGCUGACGUUUCGAGUCUGGACCCUUCUUCAGAAA
Rhincodon typus (whale shark) is the source of this 844-nucleotide long non-coding RNA. RefSeq lists it as uncharacterized. NCBI's taxonomy places the organism in Eukaryota, Metazoa, Chordata, Chondrichthyes, Orectolobiformes, Rhincodontidae. The record is from RefSeq and is a predicted model, not a curated record. The transcript is spliced from 3 exons.